Bradysia coprophila is the source of this 214-nucleotide long non-coding RNA. The record is from RefSeq and is a predicted model, not a curated record. NCBI's taxonomy places the organism in Eukaryota, Metazoa, Arthropoda, Insecta, Diptera, Sciaridae.
AGUAAAUCUCAUCCGAUUUUGCUAGAUUUAGUUUUUUAUGGAAGAUAAUUGAAUACCGAAAAGAACGUGGCGAAAAAAGUUUCAAAUUUGGGCCGUUGGACUAAGACCGCUACUCGCCCCUAAGUGUUUUUUGUACAUAAAUCGAGUAAAUCUCAUCCGAUUUUGCUAGAUUUAGUUUUUUAUGGAAGGUAAUUGAAUGCCGAAUAGAAUGAUG